Molecule: small nucleolar RNA, 106 nt
Organism: Cavia aperea (Brazilian guinea pig)
Lineage: Eukaryota; Metazoa; Chordata; Mammalia; Rodentia; Caviidae
Source: Ensembl
AGGGUGUGCUCAGAGCAGGUGGCCUGAAGAAUGGCUUCUCUGUUUACAACACCCCCAACAGGAAUCUAGGAUCAUUGUGACAAUGUGAAGCAAAUGUCCUUCACAU